ACCGCAAAACCCAAAGACCCACUUAGGUGUCCCCUCUCUCCGCAGAAGAGAGAGCUUUUCCCUUUCUCUCUGUUAAACCUCUUCUCUUAAACUCACUUCUUGCGUGUCCUCGUCCUCGAUUUCCUUGGCGUAAGACGACGAACCUCAGGCAUUUACCCCAGACAACGAAGGUGCUUCAUAAGGUCAUGCAGCUGGGUCAACAUAGGACUGUGUAGCCAAGAGCUACAGGAUGGAUUGCUGAGGCCAGGGAGAUUGAAAGGAAGUCACAGCCCAAUCUCAGAGGGAUCCACGGAGCCAGCGAAAGCUAAGGCGGGACUUACCCAACAGAGGGUCCUGGCCCAGUCACCCAGUGGCACAACCCAACUGGGAGAUCUGAGCAUCUACCAACUGUGGCCACCAGUGAGAUGGUGUCAUUGUCUGGGGGCCGCCUGAAAGCUUGUACAAGUGCCUGAGGAAAGCCGGAUUUGGCAGGCUGCAACCACGGUGGAUGACAGCUGAAGGAGAAUUACAGCAGCAGCAAUCAGUUGCUCUGGGGGAAGCCAGCUGUCAUGUGACAAACAGCUCUCCACAGAGGAUUAUGGGGCAUGUAACUGAGGCCUCCAGCCAGCGGCCACGUCAGUGAGUUUGGAAAUAGGUCCUCUAGCCCAGUUGAGCCUUCAGAAGACGACAUGAGGAUUUGCUGCAGUUCUGCCCAACAUCUUGAUUUCAAGCUCAUGAGACAGCCUAAGCCCAAACCACCCAGCUAAGCCAUUCCUAGAUUCCUGACCCAAAGAAACUAUGUGAGAUUAUGUGUCUGGUAUUUUAAGCACUAAGUUCUGGGAUAAUUUGUUUUGAAGCAAUAGUUAAGAAAUACAAUGAGAUAACACUAAACGCAAUGAGAGAGCACUAAACACUAUACUUGGUGUAGAUAAGGUCAUGGAGCCACAGGAAUGCUCAUUUUGUGCUAGUGGAAAAGGAAAUUGGAAAAACCAUUUUGCAAUGUAUAACCAGGUGGCAAUAUCUACAGUUUUAAAGCUAUGCCUAUUAUAUGAUCUCACAGUUCCACUUCUAGGUAUAUAGUGCAUGAUCCUGUGCACAGGAGACAUGCACAUGAAUAUUCAUAGCAGGAAUGUUUGUAGUAGCCUCAAAUUGGAAACCAUCCACAUAUCCAUCAGUAAUGGAAUGGAUAAAUAAGUUUUGGUAGCAGUUGAGCCUUGAACAACACGAGUUUAAACUAUGUGGGUCCACUUAAUAUGCACAUUUUCUGGGUCCACUUAUAUGCAGAUUUUCUUCUACCUCUGCUACCCCUGAGAUGGUAAGACCAUCUUCCUUGAUCCACUUCCACAGUAAAUACAUUUUCUCUUUCUUAUGAUUUUCUUAAUAUCAUUUUCUUUUCCCUAAGCUUACUUGAUUGUAAGUGUACAGUAUGUGAUAAAAAUAACAUGCAAAAUAUGUGUUAAUCAACUGUUAAUGAUCAGUUAAUACUUCUGGUGAACAGUAGGCUGUAAGUAGUUAAGUUUUGGGGAAGUCAAAAGCAUAUGCAGAUAUUUGACUGUGUGGGGUGUUGGUAUCCCUAACCUCGUGCAUUGUUCAAGGGUCAAUUGUAUUUGUACAAUAAAAUGUUAUACAGCAAGGGUUGGAAGAUUUGUUCUGUUAAGGGCCAGAGAGUCAAUAUUUUAGGCUUUAAGGGCUGUACAGUCUCUGUCAUACCUAGUCAACUCUGCUGUUGUAGUAUGUAAGCAGCCACAGAGAAUAGGGAAAUGAAUAAGCAUGGCUAUAUUUCAAUUAUACUUUAUUUACAAAACAGAUGGGGAACUGGAUUUGGCACAGGGGCCACAGUUUUCUGACCAUUACUCUAUAAUAUUGAGAGUAAAAGGGGCCAGGUGCAGUGGCUCACAUCUGUGAUCCCAGC
Molecule: long non-coding RNA, 1891 nt
Organism: Homo sapiens (human)
Lineage: Eukaryota; Metazoa; Chordata; Mammalia; Primates; Hominidae
Exons: 4
Source: RefSeq, a predicted model, not a curated record